GACGAACCGUGCGAACGUUGUUCGGAAUCACUGGGCUUAAAGGGCGCGUAGGCGGCCCGCCCGGUCCGGGGUGAAAGCCCCCAGCUCAACUGGGGAAGGGCCUCGGAUACCGGCGGGCUCGAGGGAGGUAGGGGCGGGCGGAACUUCCGGUGGAGCGGUGAAAUGCGUUGAUAUCGGAAGGAACGCCGGUGGCGAAAGCGGCCCGCUGGGCCUCCGCUGACGCUGAGGCGCGAAAGCCAGGGGAGCGAACGGG
RNAcentral lists this ribosomal RNA (253 nucleotides) under uncultured bacterium. Its description in RNAcentral is "partial 16S ribosomal RNA". It matches the Rfam family "Bacterial small subunit ribosomal RNA", at positions 524 to 776 of the family's 1533-position model. The record is from RNAcentral.